AGGCGUAUAGCUCAGUGGCAGAGCAGAGUCCUUUUAAGUCUUUGGUCGAAGGUUCAAGUCCUUCUACGCCUA
Molecule: transfer RNA, 72 nt
Filed under: Thraustochytrium aureum
Lineage: Eukaryota; Bigyra; Thraustochytrida; Thraustochytriidae
Description: tRNA-Lys
Rfam family: tRNA
About the family: Transfer RNA (tRNA) molecules are approximately 80 nucleotides in length.
Source: RNAcentral